RNAcentral lists this ribosomal RNA (444 nucleotides) under Brachybacterium sp. oral taxon D23. RNAcentral's name for it is "bacterial SSU rRNA". It matches the Rfam family "Bacterial small subunit ribosomal RNA", at positions 28 to 485 of the family's 1533-position model. The record is from RNAcentral. Lineage: Bacteria; Bacillati; Actinomycetota; Actinomycetes; Micrococcales; Dermabacteraceae.
GACGAACGCUGGCGGCGUGCUUAACACAUGCAAGUCGAACGAUGACGACAGGGCUUGCCUUGUCUGAUUAGUGGCGAACGGGUGAGUAACACGUGAGUAACCUGCCCCCCUCUUCGGGAUAACCUCGGGAAAUCGGGGCUAAUACCGGAUAUGACUUCGCACCGCAUGGUGUGUUGUGGAAAGUUUUUCGGUGGGGGAUGGACUCGCGGCCUAUCAGUUUGUUGGUGAGGUAAUGGCUCACCAAGGCGAUGACGGGUAGCCGGCCUGAGAGGGCGACCGGCCACACUGGGACUGAGACACGGCCCAGACUCCUACGGGAGGCAGCAGUGGGGAAUAUUGCACAAUGGGCGAAAGCCUGAUGCAGCGACGCCGCGUGGGGGAUGACGGCCUUCGGGUUGUAAACCUCUUUCAGUAGGGAAGAAGCGAAAGUGACGUACCUGCAGA